Molecule: long non-coding RNA, 2523 nt
Organism: Zeugodacus cucurbitae (melon fly)
Lineage: Eukaryota; Metazoa; Arthropoda; Insecta; Diptera; Tephritidae
Exons: 4
Source: RefSeq, a predicted model, not a curated record
UUUAAAGGUAGACAGUUUAAAUUUUCCUUCUGUUGCUUAAUUCGAGGUUUUCUAUGUACACUGAUUAUAAAAAUAAAUAAAAAUUUAAAAUCGCCGUUCAUAUUAUUUAGGUCGUUAUCAAACUCGCAAAUAAAAAGUGUGUAUGUGUAUCACCUUGUACACAGCUGUCAACGCAUUCAAAAACGCAUUUAUGGAGUUGCUCGAUAUAUACGCAGUCAAGCGCAUUUUUUCGCUUUCGCAUUCGCAUUCGCAUACGCGAGCUAUGUAGAUUGAGCUUAAUUCUAGAAUUGCUUGCAGCACAUACUCCCAUGCUUUCGAAAAUUCUACGCAGCUACCAUAAGUGACACCAAUUAGGUUGCGUACCUUUAACCCGCCGUACGAGGUUUGAAAUAUCUGAAUGGAAAAUUAAUUACAAUUUAACUCAACCCUACAAGACGGAGCUAACUCAUACACCACUACACAUGCAAAUUUUUUCAGCUUUUACCAAUACAUACACAUUGCUAACAUUUUGUAGUUAAGUGGCAAUCUCGGUAGUUAGAGUAGCAAAGUUCAUUAUUCCUAAUUUUUGUAUGUGUAAGAGAGAGAUGCACGUACUACAUGUACCGCCAUGGCCGCUGUUCAUUUGAAAAUAAAAUUUGAAGUGAAUAGAUACAUGAUCAACAAGACAACAACAAACCCCAUCGGACAUUUAGAUUAGCAGUUGCACAACCUCUUUCCGACGAGCUGAACCUUUUUAUGAUGUACAUAUGGGAUAGGAUUGUGUGGAAUUGACAUCAAACCAUAUUGGUUCAUUACCCAGCAAUGGUUCAUUACCCAGCAUGGGUACUGAAACUCCAACACAUUCAAAGAAAUUUUAAUAACACCACUACAUACACACAUACACAACAAAGGGUAAAAUGUGCAUAAACAUUUAACUCAACUCUUCUCUCAUACAGCACCCUGAAUGAUAGAAAGAAACAACCAAAGUUCUCGUGUUUGAACAAGUUUUGUUUUGAGCUAUAUCAUGGCUGCUUGUGAAGUAUUAUUUUGCGUGUUUUAUUUAAUUCAGUGAUCUGUAGCAUAAUUAAAGUUUAAAUUUUUGAAGCACGCAUUUUUAAAUAAGUAAAACGUAAAAUAAAAGUUUUCUAAAGCCAAAAUAUGGAAUUGAAGAGGGUGAUACAGAAAUACUUCAUUGCACUGCCAAUUCGAAGCACGCAAUAGAAGCUACGCCAAUUGAUGUUGACAAUGGCGAAGCCAUUUAAUACGUAAAUAAUUGUUGAAUAUAAUAAUAUUAUCUUGCCUUAAAUUUCAAACCUCAUAUGGCGCGUUAAAGGUACGCAAACUUAUUGGUGUCACUUAUUGUAGCAGCGUAGAACUUUCGAAGCGAUGGAAUAUGUGCUGCAAGCAAAUCCAAAACUAUGGACGCAAACGCUGCUACAUGGAACACAAAUCGUUUACACACCAGAUAUUACGUUUAAAGUCACUUUUUUGCGUGCAAUUAAACCUUUUGGUCAACACAAGCACGAAAAUUGGAACGACAUGGUUUAGGUGCUUUUGAAACCGUUUAUUAUCACGACGUGUGUCAACUGGGUUUUGCCAAUGAGCUAGAGGGCAAAGCAGUUUCAGUAUCUUUGAGCUUACCGGCACUUGGCCGUGCCAUUAGCAGCUAAAACACAGAAAUUAAAUGGAGGACUUUUUUGAUUCAUUUUCACCUUGUAUUGAGGAACCAUAACGUUGUUGUAUCGCUUUACAAAGACAUAAAUUCACCGAAAUUAGUUCAAUGGAAAUACUACAGCAAGACCAUGGAUGUUAAGACUUGAACGGUGCCGUGUUAGAUUUAGAAUUCCUGAAACAUAAGAAACCCUCCUCCCAGAUGAAUCUAUUACUAGUGAAAUUAAUGAAAGAACAGAUCUUAUAAAAACUCCGAAAGAAACCAAAAGAGUCCUCACAUAAUGUGCGCAGCUUACACUUCCAAACCGCACGGGGUAUUUGACAUUUUCCACUCUUCCUCCAGCCUUUGUCCGAUAGCAAAAAUUGUUCAAAUAUUCAUUUUCACCUACUUUAUACAUAUGUAUAUAGUGUAGUACGAUAACAUAUGUAUAAAGUAAAUAUAAUAAUAAACAACUAAAUGGCAUGAUAUUUUCAAUAAAUAUGUAACAUAAUUAAUUAUUUUGUUAUUAAAUUCUCAUUUGGGAUUUUGGUAGAACUAACCGAAAAUAGAGGGUAUAGUUUCUGGGCUUUUGUGGGUCGCAGUACUGAAAGUGCACGUGGAGUUUUGGUUCGCAGUAUUGGGUGUUUCAUCCGUGAUUGUACCAAUACCAUUCCCCAAAUUGUGCAAGAGGUAUAUAUACAUUGCUAAAUGAUUAAUGUAAUGUGCAAGAAAGGGAUGAACGAUCACACGUACACAAUAGUUUCGGGUACUUUUGUCAAUUCGCCCUUAAGAAUGGCAUAGAAACUUUCAUUGAAACUGCGGGUACCGCUCCCUGGUAUUUCACCGGAGAAUUCGCCGGUACCUGUCUUGCAGGGUAGUUUGGUUGGAUCCUU